This 1435-nucleotide ribosomal RNA is filed under the name uncultured bacterium. RNAcentral's name for it is "bacterial SSU rRNA". It matches the Rfam family "Bacterial small subunit ribosomal RNA". The record is from RNAcentral.
AGAGUUUGAUCCUGGCUCAGGAUGAACGCCGUUUGGUGUGCCUAAUACAUGCAAGUCGUACGCACUGGCCCAACUGAUUGAUGGUGCUUGCACCUGAUUGACGUUGGAUCACCAGUGAGUGGCGGACGGGUGAGUAACACGUAGGUAACCUGCCCCGGAGCGGGGGAUAACAUUUGGAAACAGAUGCUAAUACCGCAUAACAACAAAAGCCACAUGGCUUUUGUUUGAAAGAUGGCUUUGGCUAUCACUCUGGGAUGGACCUGCGGUGCAUUAGCUAGUUGGUAAGGUAACGGCUUACCAAGGCGAUGAUGCAUAGCCGAGUUGAGAGACUGAUCGGCCACAAUGGAACUGAGACACGGUCCAUACUCCUACGGGAGGCAGCAGUAGGGAAUCUUCCACAAUGGGCGCAAGCCUGAUGGAGCAACACCGCGUGAGUGAAGAAGGGUUUCGGCUCGUAAAGCUCUGUUGUUGGAGAAGAACGUGCGUGAGAGUAACUGUUCACGCAGUGACGGUAUCCAACCAGAAAGUCACGGCUAACUACGUGCCAGCAGCCGCGGUAAUACGUAGGUGGCAAGCGUUAUCCGGAUUUAUUGGGCGUAAAGCGAGCGCAGGCGGUUGCUUAGGUCUGAUGUGAAAGCCUUCGGCUUAACCGAAGAAGUGCAUCGGAAACCGGGCGACUUGAGUGCAGAAGAGGACAGUGGAACUCCAUGUGUAGCGGUGGAAUGCGUAGAUAUAUGGAAGAACACCAGUGGCGAAGGCGGCUGUCUGGUCUGCAACUGACGCUGAGGCUCGAAAGCAUGGGUAGCGAACAGGAUUAGAUACCCUGGUAGUCCAUGCCGUAAACGAUGAGUGCUAGGUGUUGGAGGGUUUCCGCCCUUCAGUGCCGGAGCUAACGCAUUAAGCACUCCGCCUGGGGAGUACGACCGCAAGGUUGAAACUCAAAGGAAUUGACGGGGGCCCGCACAAGCGGUGGAGCAUGUGGUUUAAUUCGAAGCUACGCGAAGAACCUUACCAGGUCUUGACAUCUUGCGCUAACCUUAGAGAUAAGGCGUUCCCUUCGGGGACGCAAUGACAGGUGGUGCAUGGUCGUCGUCAGCUCGUGUCGUGAGAUGUUGGGUUAAGUCCCGCAACGAGCGCAACCCUUGUUACUAGUUGCCAGCAUUAAGUUGGGCACUCUAGUGAGACUGCCGGUGACAAACCGGAGGAAGGUGGGGACGACGUCAGAUCAUCAUGCCCCUUAUGACCUGGGCUACACACGUGCUACAAUGGACGGUACAACGAGUCGCAAGCUCGCGAGAGUAAGCUAAUCUCUUAAAGCCGUUCUCAGUUCGAACUGUAGGCUGCAACUCGCCUACACGAAGUCGGAAUCGCUAGUAAUCGCGGAUCAGCAUGCCGCGGUGAAUACGUUCCCGGGCCUUGUACUCACCGCCCGUCA